GAUGAACGCUGGCGGCGUGCCUAAUACAUGCAAGUCGAGCGAACAGACGAGGAGCUUGCUCCUCUGACGUUAGCGGCGGACGGGUGAGUAACACGUGGAUAACCUACCUAUAAGACUGGGAUAACUUCGGGAAACCGGAGCUAAUACCGGAUAAUAUAUUGAACCGCAUGGUUCAAUAGUGAAAGACGGUUUUGCUGUCACUUAUAGAUGGAUCCGCGCCGCAUUAGCUAGUUGGUAAGGUAACGGCUGACCACGGCAACGAUGCGUAGCCGACCUGAGAGGGGGAUCGGCCACGCUGGAACUGAGACACGGUCCAGACUCCUACGGGAGGCAGCAGUAGGGAAUCUUCCGCAAUGGGCGAAAGCCUGACGGAGCAACGCCGCGUGAGUGAUGAAGGUCUUCGGAUCGUAAAACUCUGUUAUUAGGGAAGAACAAAUGUGUAAGUAACUAUGCACGUCUUGACGGUACCUAAUCAGAAAGCCACGGCUAACUACGUG
RNAcentral lists this ribosomal RNA (497 nucleotides) under uncultured bacterium. RNAcentral describes it as "partial 16S ribosomal RNA". It matches the Rfam family "Bacterial small subunit ribosomal RNA", at positions 28 to 507 of the family's 1533-position model. The record is from RNAcentral.